GUAUAGUUAAAAGUCCCAGUGCUGUUUAACUCUACUCCAAUCAAAUUACUUGGUCGUAUUAUAAAUACUUGUGAACAUGAGUUCUUUCCGCCCUUUUCAUGGAAAGCAGUGGGAACGUUUUACUUGCGGUUGCUUUUAGUAAAGUUCAAAAUGCUUUGGCAGUGCGUUAUCGGCUGCGUUUUUUAUGACUUUUUCAUUUUUCAUUGAAACUGUUAUUGAGCCAUAUCAAUAGAUUGCACAGUCGCAGCCCUGAUUUCUGGUUGCUCUGUGGUAUUGACGGAUGCACUGAGGAAUAUAGUGUACCAUUCCUUCUAUCAUCAUGUAAAGAGAAACCACCUUCAACACCUACUUGAUUGCACCCGACCAGAUGAACAGCCAUCGGAAGAAAGCCAAGUACCACCGGAACAAGACAACAUUCAACCCGAUCAGCUUCUAGCUAACUCCAGCAUCACUGAUCAACAACUCCAUACAUCUGACUCAGAUGAAGGGCAAAGGGGCAUUGACCAACAUGAAGCUGUCACAGUGCAGCAAGAUCUGACAACACAUGCCACUGCUUUUGUGAUAAAUGAGAGCCAAGCAUCGUCUCUCACAGGCAUGAAUGACAUUGUUGCUGGGGUACAGCAGUAUCAAUCAUCACUAUUGGACAACCUCAGGAAGCAGAUGGAGUCAGUGCUAAGGAAGCGUUCAGGAAGCACAUCAGGUCAACUUGAAAAAGAUGCAAUGGAUAUAUUUGACAAUUUCAUUGACCCUUUUGCUGGCGUUGCAACAACAUUUAGACAAGACAGUGUUAUUAAGAAGCAGUUUAGCAGUUUGGAUGCAGAGGAAAUUCCAAUUGCUUGAACCAUAUGCAGGAUGAAAUGUGGAGGUUCAAAAUACAUUUUCAUCAAAGACAAAUUAUUUCAUUAUGUACCAUUAGUCAAAAGUCUAGAACAGUUCUUAUCACACCCAAGGAUUUUGUCUAUGGUUGAAAAGGGACCCCAGAUGUGUAACGGGCGUCGUAUGUAGUAGACCAAGGCGCAGCGGGUUGAGUGCUCAUCUUAAACUUUUAUUGAACACUUACAAAACAAGAAACCGAACACACAGUAUUGCA
Long non-coding RNA from Salmo salar (Atlantic salmon), 1090 nucleotides. RefSeq lists it as uncharacterized. NCBI's taxonomy places the organism in Eukaryota, Metazoa, Chordata, Actinopteri, Salmoniformes, Salmonidae. The record is from RefSeq and is a predicted model, not a curated record.